This is a long non-coding RNA of Ornithodoros turicata, 428 nucleotides long. RefSeq lists it as uncharacterized. NCBI's taxonomy places the organism in Eukaryota, Metazoa, Arthropoda, Arachnida, Ixodida, Argasidae. The transcript has 6 exons. The record is from RefSeq and is a predicted model, not a curated record.
UCGAUGCCAGAGCUAACUGAUGGGUGCACAUGGUUCCUUCGUAUGUUCUUUCUUUGAAAAAAUAAACGUGUUUCGAUGGCAGAGCUAACUGAUGGGUGCACAUGGUUCCCUCGUAUGUUUUUCCUUUGAAGAAAUAAACGUGUUUCGAUGCCAGAGCUAACUGAUGGGUGCACAUGGUUCCUUCGUAUGUUCUUCCUUUGAAAAUAUAAACGUGUUUCGAUGCCAGAGCUAACUGAUGGGUGCACAUGGUUCCUUCGUAUGUUCUUCCUUUGAAGAAAUACACGUGUUUCGAUGGCAGAGCUAACUGAUGGGUGCACAUGGUUCCUUCGUAUGUUUUUCCUUUGAAAAAAUAAACUUGUUUCGAUGCCAGAGCUAACUGAUGGGUGCACAUGGUUCCUUCGUAUGUUCUUCCUUUGAAGAAAUAAACG